UACGUAUGGGGCAAGCGUUGUUCGGAAUUAUUGGGCGUAAAGGGCGUCUAGGCGGGGAGUUAAGUUAGAUGUGAAAGCCAUGGGCUCAACCCAUGAAUUGCACCUAAAACUGAUUCUCUUGAGUUCGGGAGAGGAGAGCGGAAUUCCCGGUGUAGCGGUGAAAUGCGUAGAUAUCGGGAAGAACACCAGUGGCGAAGGCGGCUCUCUGGCCCAGAACUGACGCUGAAGCGCGAAAGCGUGGGGAGCGAACGGGAUUAGAAACCCCCGUAGUCC
This 273-nucleotide ribosomal RNA is filed under the name uncultured prokaryote. RNAcentral's name for it is "partial 16S ribosomal RNA". It matches the Rfam family "Bacterial small subunit ribosomal RNA", at positions 524 to 796 of the family's 1533-position model. The record is from RNAcentral.